CCCCACUGCUCUGUGUUGGU
This 20-nucleotide microRNA is filed under the name Callorhinchus milii (elephant shark). Its description in RNAcentral is "eshark_NOVEL_245". The record is from RNAcentral. Lineage: Eukaryota; Metazoa; Chordata; Chondrichthyes; Chimaeriformes; Callorhinchidae.